Molecule: ribosomal RNA, 344 nt
Filed under: Chlorella sp. ArM0029B
Lineage: Eukaryota; Viridiplantae; Chlorophyta; Trebouxiophyceae; Chlorellales; Chlorellaceae
Description: bacterial LSU rRNA
Rfam family: Bacterial large subunit ribosomal RNA
Source: RNAcentral
AAUUGGGUUCGGGCUCUUCUUGCGCAGCCUAGGUGGGAGGCGUUGAAGGUUUUCUUUCGGGGAAACUGGAGCCAACAGUGAGAGACCACUCUGGAGGAGCUAGAAUUCUAAUGGCGUUCCUUGAAGCAGGACGCUUGACAGUUUCAGGUGGGCAGUUUGACUGGGGCGGUCACCUCCUAAAAAGUAACGGAGGUGUGCAAAGGUUCCCUCAGGCUGGACGGAAAUCAGCCGGAGAGUGUAAAGGCAGAAGGGAGCUUGACUGCAAGACCUACAAGUCGAGCAGGGGCGAAAGCCGGCCUUAGUGAUCCGACGGUUCCAUGUGGAAGGGCCGUCGCUCAACGGAU